RNAcentral lists this ribosomal RNA (1343 nucleotides) under uncultured bacterium. RNAcentral describes it as "16S ribosomal RNA". It matches the Rfam family "Bacterial small subunit ribosomal RNA", at positions 28 to 1378 of the family's 1533-position model. The record is from RNAcentral.
GACGAACGCUGGCGGCGUGCUUAACACAUGCAAGUCGAACGGAAAGGCCCUGCUUUUGUGGGGUGCUCGAGUGGCGAACGGGUGAGUAACACGUGAGUAACCUGCCCUUGACUUUGGGAUAACUUCAGGAAACUGGGGCUAAUACCGGAUAGGAGCUCCUGCUGCAUGGUGGGGGUUGGAAAGUUUCGGCGGUUGGGGAUGGACUCGCGGCUUAUCAGCUUGUUGGUGGGGUAGUGGCUUACCAAGGCUUUGACGGGUAGCCGGCCUGAGAGGGUGACCGGCCACAUUGGGACUGAGAUACGGCCCAGACUCCUACGGGAGGCAGCAGUGGGGAAUAUUGCACAAUGGGCGGAAGCCUGAUGCAGCAACGCCGCGUGCGGGAUGACGGCCUUCGGGUUGUAAACCGCUUUCGCCUGUGACGAAGCGUGAGUGACGGUAAUGGGUAAAGAAGCACCGGCUAACUACGUGCCAGCAGCCGCGGUGAUACGUAGGGUGCGAGCGUUGUCCGGAUUUAUUGGGCGUAAAGGGCUCGUAGGUGGUUGAUCGCGUCGGAAGUGUAAUCUUGGGGCUUAACCCUGAGCGUGCUUUCGAUACGGGUUGACUUGAGGAAGGUAGGGGAGAAUGGAAUUCCUGGUGGAGCGGUGGAAUGCGCAGAUAUCAGGAGGAACACCAGUGGCGAAGGCGGUUCUCUGGGCCUUUCCUGACGCUGAGGAGCGAAAGCGUGGGGAGCGAACAGGCUUAGAUACCCUGGUAGUCCACGCUGUAAACGGUGGGUACUAGGUGUGGGGUCCAUUCCACGGGUUCCGUGCCGUAGCUAACGCUUUAAGUACCCCGCCUGGGGAGUACGGCCGCAAGGCUAAAACUCAAAGGAAUUGACGGGGUCCCGCACAAGCGGCGGAGCAUGCGGAUUAAUUCGAUGCAACGCGUAGAACCUUACCUGGGUUUGACAUGGAUCGGGAGUGCUCAGAGAUGGGUGUGCCUCUUUUGGGGUCGGUUCACAGGUGGUGCAUGGCUGUCGUCAGCUCGUGUCGUGAGAUGUUGGGUUAAGUCCCGCAACGAGCGCAACCCUUGUUCACUGUUGCCAGCACGUUAUGGUGGGGACUCAGUGGAGACCGCCGGGGUCAACUCGGAGGAAGGUGGGGAUGACGUCAAGUCAUCAUGCCCCUUAUGUCCAGGGCUUCACGCAUGCUACAAUGGCUGGUACAGAGAGUGGCGAGCCUGUGAGGGUGAGCGAAUCUCGGAAAGCCGGUCUCAGUUCGGAUUGGGGUCUGCAACUCGACCUCAUGAAGUCGGAGUCGCUAGUAAUCGCAGAUCAGCAACGCUACGGUGAAUACGUUCCCGGG